RNAcentral lists this ribosomal RNA (468 nucleotides) under uncultured bacterium. RNAcentral describes it as "partial 16S ribosomal RNA". It matches the Rfam family "Bacterial small subunit ribosomal RNA", at positions 28 to 507 of the family's 1533-position model. The record is from RNAcentral.
GACGAACGCUGGCGGCGUGCUUAACACAUGCAAGUCGAACGGAAAGGCCCUGCUUUUGUGGGGUGCGCGAGUGGCGAACGGGGGAGUAACACGUGAGUAACCUGCCCUUGACUUUGGGAUAACUUCAGGAAACUGGGGCUAAUACCGGAUAGGAGCUCCUGCUGCAUGGUGGGGGUUGGAAAGUUUCGGCGGUUGGGGAUGGACUCGCGGCUUAUCAGCUUGUUGGUGGGGUAGUGGCUUACCAAGGCUUUGACGGGUAGCCGGCCUGGGAGGGUGACCGGCCCCAUUGGGACUGGGAUGCGGCCCAGACUCCUACGGGAGGCAGCAGUGGGGAAUAUUGCCCAAUGGGCGGAAGCCUGAUGCAGCAACGCCGCGUGCGGGAUGACGGCCUUCGGGUUGUAAACCGCUUUCGUCUGUGGCGAAGCGUGAGUGACGGUACUGGGUAAAGAAGCCCCGGCUAACUACGUG